ACGGGUGAGUAACACGUAUGCAAUCCACCUGUAACAGGGGAUAACCCGGAGAAAUCCGGACUAAUACCCCAUAAUAUGGGCGCUCCGCAUGGAGAGUUCAUUAAAGAGAGCAAUUUUGGUUACAGACGAGCAUGCGCUCCAUUAGCCAGUUGGCGGGUAACGGCCCACCAAGGCGACGAUGGAUAGGGGUUCUGAGAGGAAGGUCCCCCACAUUGGAACUGAGACACGGUCCAA
RNAcentral lists this ribosomal RNA (234 nucleotides) under uncultured bacterium. RNAcentral describes it as "partial 16S ribosomal RNA". It matches the Rfam family "Bacterial small subunit ribosomal RNA", at positions 102 to 334 of the family's 1533-position model. The record is from RNAcentral.